GUCUUUUGUUUUUGUUUUGUUGGUAUAUAUGACAAAGAGAAGAAGGGGGGUUGUUUUUUGGUGAAAAAAAUGGGACCGUCCAGCCCUUUUUUUACAAAGAGCCUUCCGAUCCCAAAGUGCACACAAAAGGGUGUUUGGGUUGUUUUUCAGGUAUUUCACUGAUGAUCCUUCCGCAGGUUCACCUACGGAAA
Molecule: unclassified non-coding RNA, 191 nt
Filed under: uncultured fungus
Lineage: Eukaryota; Fungi
Description: sequence contains ITS1
Source: RNAcentral